This is a non-coding RNA of Biomphalaria pfeifferi, 406 nucleotides long. The record is from the annotation of a GenBank genome assembly. NCBI's taxonomy places the organism in Eukaryota, Metazoa, Mollusca, Gastropoda, Planorbidae.
AUAUAUAUAUAUAUAUCGCAUAAGUAAUUAUACUAAUUUUGUAUUUUCAAAAAAAAUGCUCUAAUGGCUGAAAAUGUGUGAAUAUUCUCUUUUAGUUAUGUCUGAGUUCAAAAUGUAUAGAUUCUCAUGAUCAAGGCUUCAACUUGGUUCCAGCUGCAAUAUAUCAUUUAAAAAUUUAGACUUCUCACACAGCUUUGUGUUACUUCUAUGACAUGUAUGCAAUGUCUGCACUCACUUUCACUGGGAACAUGUUUUGUUAUCACUGUACAAGACAGAGUUACUACUACUUUAAACAGGAGAGGUCUAUUUGUUUGAAUGCAACUAUGACUCUGUUGUUUUACUCUGGAUUAAACAGAUAAUUACUAUAAAAUGUUGCACAUGGAAUAAAUUGUUUUGUUAAAUUAAU